Molecule: long non-coding RNA, 516 nt
Filed under: Bos taurus (domestic cattle)
Lineage: Eukaryota; Metazoa; Chordata; Mammalia; Artiodactyla; Bovidae
Description: long non-coding RNA NONBTAT018367
Source: RNAcentral
UGUGGUUGAAUUUAAAUUCUUCAUUCUGCCUCUCUGUGUCUAAUGAUACGUGAAUUAGAGAUAUAAAAUGUAGCUUUUUCCCCUAAAAAUGUUGAUUUUAAUGAAACUUAAGCCCUUGCUAAGCUGCCAGACAAGACACCUGACAUUUACUAUCACAUUUUAUACAAAACACAUUUGGAGUAGAAAAACAUGUUGUUGAGCUAGAGAUUGCUCUGUCCCUUUAAGUGGCUGAAGCAGGUACCCCUUAAUUUGGUUGCCUGUGCUACAGAGUAUGGGAGAAAGAGUAGCAUAGGAAAUUAGUCACAAUUCUGCCAGUGUCGUAAUUUUGUGUGUGUCUGUCCUUCUCUUCCUGUGUGCACAUUUUUAUCUGAUUAUGUUGUGAGGUUUUAUAUCCAAUGAAGUCUUUGAAAUUUUUCUUUUGCAUAUGAGCACCUUAAAAUUUUAUUUGUAAAAGCAUAAAGGUUUUGUAUUUAGUUAAUGGCAACCUCAGCUCUGGAGUGGACUUGUCAAUGGCCU